GGACAGGUAGCUCAGUCGGAAGAGCGUCCGCCUGAAAAGCGGGAGGCCGGCGGAUCGAAACCGCCCCUGUCCACCA
RNAcentral lists this transfer RNA (76 nucleotides) under Jiangellaceae bacterium. RNAcentral's name for it is "tRNA-Phe". It matches the Rfam family "tRNA". From Rfam's summary of the family: Transfer RNA (tRNA) molecules are approximately 80 nucleotides in length. Their secondary structure includes four short double-helical elements and three loops (D, anti-codon, and T loops). Lineage: Bacteria; Bacillati; Actinomycetota; Actinomycetes; Jiangellales; Jiangellaceae. The record is from RNAcentral.